UAGGGAAUUUUGCGCAAUGGACGAAAGUCUGACGCAGCAACGCCGUGUGAGGGAUGAAGCAUUUCGGUGUGUAAACCUCUGUCGUUGGUGACUAAAGUUUUCAGGAGUGGAAAGCCUGGAGAUUGAAUGUAGCCAAGAAGGAAGCACUGGCUAACUCUGUG
This 161-nucleotide ribosomal RNA is filed under the name uncultured bacterium. RNAcentral describes it as "partial 16S rRNA". It matches the Rfam family "Bacterial small subunit ribosomal RNA", at positions 355 to 507 of the family's 1533-position model. The record is from RNAcentral.